This is a small nucleolar RNA of Pteropus vampyrus (large flying fox), 65 nucleotides long. Its record names the gene SNORD58. It matches the Rfam family "Small nucleolar RNA SNORD58". From Rfam's summary of the family: snoRNA U58 is found in introns 1, 3 and 6 of the ribosomal protein RPL17 gene in humans. U58 is a member of the C/D class of snoRNA which contain C (UGAUGA) and D (CUGA) box motifs. Most of the members of the box C/D family function in directing site-specific 2'-O-methylation of substrate RNAs. The record is from Ensembl. Lineage: Eukaryota; Metazoa; Chordata; Mammalia; Chiroptera; Pteropodidae.
UUGCUGUGAUGACAAUCUUAGGACACCUUUGGAUUAACCAUGAAAAAAAUGAUGUUCUGAGCAAC